UACAGAGGUGCCGAGCGUUAGGCGGAAUCACUGGGCUUAAAGCGUGUGUAGGCGGGCCGUUAAGUAUCUUGUGAAAUCCCCCGGCUCAACCGGGGAAUGGCUGGAUAUACUGGCGGUCUUGAGCGAUCUAGGGGCAGAUGGAACAAGUGGUGGAGCGGUGAAAUGCGUAGAUAUCACUUGGAACGCCAAAGGUGAAAACAGUCUGCUGGGGAUCUGCUGACGCUGAGACACGAAAGCCAGGGGAGCGAACGGG
This 253-nucleotide ribosomal RNA is filed under the name uncultured bacterium. RNAcentral's name for it is "partial 16S ribosomal RNA". It matches the Rfam family "Bacterial small subunit ribosomal RNA", at positions 524 to 776 of the family's 1533-position model. The record is from RNAcentral.